GGUUAAGUUAGAAAGGGCGCACGGUGGAUGCCUUGACACUAGGAGUCGAUGAAGGACGGGACUAACGCCGAUAUGCUUCGGGGAGCUGUAAGUAAGCUUUGAUCCGAAGAUUUCCGAAUGGGGAAACCCACCAUACGUAAUGGUAUGGUAUCCUUGCCUGAAUACAUAGGGUAAGGAAGACAGACCCAGGGAACUGAAACAUCUAAGUACCUGGAGGAAGAGAAAGCAAAUGC
RNAcentral lists this ribosomal RNA (233 nucleotides) under Bacillus wiedmannii. Its description in RNAcentral is "partial 23S ribosomal RNA". It matches the Rfam family "Bacterial large subunit ribosomal RNA", at positions 1 to 232 of the family's 2925-position model. RNAcentral also lists the same sequence under 2 other names. The record is from RNAcentral. Lineage: Bacteria; Bacillati; Bacillota; Bacilli; Caryophanales; Bacillaceae.